CUUGGUCAUUUAGAGGAAGUAAAAGUCGUAACAAGGUUUUCGUAGGUGAACCUGCGGAAGGAUCAUUAAUGAAUUCGGGCGCUCGACUCUGAAAUAUUGAGAUCGGCCCCAUUUCUUAAUCCACUUCACACUUGUGCACAUUUUUCCUACUUUCCUUCGGGAGAGUUUGAAAAGCUCUUGUGAUUUUAAUCAAGUCCAGGAUGUGAAUCCAAUUUGAAUAAGUUGUAAAACAACUACAAACGGUGGAUCUCUUGGCUCUCGUAUCGAUGAAGAACGCAGCGAAACGCGAAAUGUAAUGUGAAUUGCAGAAUUCAGUGAAUCAUCGAAUCUUUGAACGCAUCUUGCACUCUCGAAUCACUAUCGAGAGUAUGCCUGUUUGAGUGUCGCGAAACUCUCAACCCCGCCUCAUGCUUUAUUGCGUGUGGGUAGCUUGGGCUUGGAUCAUGAUCUUUGCAGUAAUGCGCUAGCAGAACUGCUGGAUUGAAAUACAACAAGCUGAAUCUAUAUACUUGCGGCUUGACCUGUCGUUGUAAGCACACAAAUGCAUUCGAUGGGGACGCGAGAAAAUGGAAUGAGCUUUCCAAAUGUGUUACACUUUGCAGCUUCUAUUAACUUAGAGCUCUUAGUGCAUUCUGACCUCAAAUCAGGUAGGAUUACCCGCUGAACUUAAGCAUAUCAAUAAGCGGAGGA
Molecule: ribosomal RNA, 690 nt
Filed under: Sterigmatomyces sp. F5
Lineage: Eukaryota; Fungi; Basidiomycota; Agaricostilbomycetes; Agaricostilbales; Agaricostilbaceae
Description: eukaryotic LSU rRNA
Rfam family: 5.8S ribosomal RNA (bases 232-386)
Source: RNAcentral